GCCGGAUUAGCCCAACGGCAGAGGCACAGCGCUAAGGACGCUGAUAGUUUCGGUUCAAAUCCGAAAUCCGGUACCA
RNAcentral lists this transfer RNA (76 nucleotides) under Bacteroidales bacterium. RNAcentral's name for it is "tRNA-Leu". It matches the Rfam family "tRNA". From Rfam's summary of the family: Transfer RNA (tRNA) molecules are approximately 80 nucleotides in length. Lineage: Bacteria; Pseudomonadati; Bacteroidota; Bacteroidia; Bacteroidales. The record is from RNAcentral.